This is a long non-coding RNA of Lytechinus pictus (painted urchin), 1301 nucleotides long. RefSeq lists it as uncharacterized. The record is from RefSeq and is a predicted model, not a curated record. NCBI's taxonomy places the organism in Eukaryota, Metazoa, Echinodermata, Echinoidea, Temnopleuroida, Toxopneustidae. The transcript is spliced from 4 exons.
GAUAGACGACGAUAAAUAGAUUUGUACGAAAAGAAAAGAAGCUAGAAGCGAAGCGUGGAAUAUCGGUAUUUGCCGAGCUGUGAGAACAUCUAAAUUUUUGAAUGGAUGAAAAUAUCUUACAACAUGCACAGGCUGUCCUAAGAUACUAUGAAAGGAGGAUUGUUAGAGAGUCUAACUCAACAGGAAUAUGCCAACCAGAACUGCAGUUAGGAGUCAUUGGCAGGAGGAACCUUUGUGACUUGUACGAAGAUGAAGCUUUCAAGCACAGAAUUGCUUUUCCAAAGAGACCACACGCUACCUCAUCAUCAUGCUUGAAGGUGAUCUGAGCCUGAGGAGGGACGAAGGGCCUAGUGAUCGACUACCUUUGUUUCUGCAAGUAUUGACAAUUCUGCGUUUGUAUGCUGAUAAUUUCAGGGAAUACAGGGUGAUGAGGCAUCAGUGUUGCAAUCAUCUGUUUGUUGAGUAAUCAGAUGUUUCGCAAGCCAUAGCCAGAAGAAAGGUUUUGUGAGAACUUGAGAUUGAGGCUACCCAACAACAACUGUUUGAGUACCAGUACAGUACUACAGGAAUUCAAGAGUCAUAGGUGUGUUCGAUGGGACCCAUGUCUACAUAUCCUGGAGGGAAACAAGCUUUGUACUUUCUUGAUGGGCAAGUCCACCCAACAAAAAGUUUAUUUUGAUAUAAUAGAGAAAACUCCAAUGAGCAUAACACUAAAAAUUUGAUGUAAAAUGAGAAAGUUCUGACAUCUUGAAGUUUCGCUUAUUUUCACUAAACGGAUAUAUAUGCACAUCCUGGUCAUUAUGCAAAUGAGUGACCAAGUGACGUUCUCCACUCACUGUUUCUUUUUUGUAAUAUAUCAUGAAAUAUGAUUUUUUUUCUCAUAAUGGCUAAUACAGGUGUAUGGUUUGAUUUCUCCCUGAAACUUGUGUAAAAAGACAAUGUGGCAACAUAUACUCAUUUGUGAAUUCUGUAAAAAAUCAAGUAUUAUAAUAUAUUUCAUAUAUUGAUAUACAGAAGAAAGAGUGAGUGUGUGACAUCAUAGACUUGUUUGCAUAUCACCUGUUGUGUGCAUAUAAGUGAUUUUUGCGAGUACCGGUAAUUAAUUUCUUAUUUUACAUCCUAUUUUGACGUUUUCAGUGUCAUGCAUGUUUUAUUUUUCUCUAUCCAUUCACAUUAACUUUUUGUUGUACAGUGGACUUGCUCUAGAACAGGUAUUUUCUGUAAUGUACAUGUAAGAAUUUCAUUAUUCAUUUGUGUCUUCUUUUUAACACCUUCUUUACAGAGGGGGGGGGGGGGUUGAA